AUAUUUGGACUAAUCCAGGUUCAAGCCUCUGGGCUUUUUGCUGGCGAUGGAAUUGGGGGGUUAGCUGUCCUCACAGCACUAAAUCCCUUUUUAUCUCUUCUUCCCUUUGUUGAGGAUUUGCAGUGCCGUGGUGUCCGAGUGUGGGGCAGGAUCCAGGCGCUGUGGGAUGCCUGAAGUGGAGCCUUAACCCAGCAAAGGACUUGAGUCACAGUCGUGUUCACCUCAGGAGAAGUUUGGUAUUCACGGAGCGGCGUCAGCCCGUACAUAGCCCGGGUGGUGCUGAGUGUUGGGGAGAUCCUGCAGAUCAGUGCUGCCUAAACCACACUGAUAAAGUCUCCAGGCCUCUUCCUUGGGGAGGAAGCUUUUCUCCUGUGUGAUAUGAUGCCCCAGCUGGGGUUUGCACUGAAACCAAAGUGUGGAUCUGGACUCCUUGGAGACUGAAAUGAGGGAAUUUAUCAGCAGAUAGCAGGUGAGUGAGAAUAGGUGUCUUCUGUGAUGUGACUAUGACUGAGAGUUAUUGAUGUGAUGGCUGCUGUCACUUUGGCCAAAUGUCCUGAGCCUGGAGCUUGGGGUGUUCAGGAAGAAUUUCUUCAUGGAAAAGGUUGUUAAGCAUUGGAAGGUGCUGCCCAGGGGAGUGAUGGAGUCCACAUCCCUGGAGGUGUUGAAGGGAAGACUGGACUUGGCACUCAGUGCUCGGGGCUGGGUGACAAGGUGGGGAUUAGUCACAGAUCGGUCUCGGUUGGAAAAGACCUCCCAGACCAUCAAAAUGAUUCUGUGAUUCUGCUUUAUGAAGGAUCCCUGCUUCUUUUUGCUGUGCUUGGGGAUCUCUCUUGUUGCCCUGACAGCUACAG
Long non-coding RNA from Poecile atricapillus (Black-capped chickadee), 851 nucleotides. RefSeq lists it as uncharacterized. The transcript is spliced from 3 exons. The record is from RefSeq and is a predicted model, not a curated record. Lineage: Eukaryota; Metazoa; Chordata; Aves; Passeriformes; Paridae.